RNAcentral lists this ribosomal RNA (492 nucleotides) under uncultured bacterium. Its description in RNAcentral is "partial 16S ribosomal RNA". It matches the Rfam family "Bacterial small subunit ribosomal RNA", at positions 29 to 507 of the family's 1533-position model. The record is from RNAcentral.
AGUGAACGCUGGCGGUAGGCCUAACACAUGCAAGUCGAACGGCAGCACAGUCAGAGCUUGCUCUUACGGGUGGCGAGUGGCGGACGGGUGAGGAAUACAUCGGAAUCUACUUUUUCGUGGGGGAUAACGUAGGGAAACUUACGCUGAUACCGCAUACGACCUACGGCUGAAAGCAGGGGAUCUUCGGACCUUGCGCGAUUGAAUGAGCCGAUGUCGGAUUAGCUAGUUGGCGGGGUAAAGGCCCACCAAGGCGACGAUCCGUAGCUGGUCUGAGAGGAUGAUCAGCCACACUGGAACUGAGACACGGUCCAGACUCCUACGGGAGGCAGCAGUGGGGAAUAUUGGACAAUGGGCGCAAGCCUGAUCCAGCCAUACCGCGUGGGUGAAGAAGGCCUUCGGGUUGUAAAGCCCUUUUGUUGGGAAAGAAAAGCAGCAGGUUAAUACCCCGCUGUUCUGACGGUACCCAAAGAAUAAGCACCGGCUAACUUCGUG